Molecule: ribosomal RNA, 468 nt
Filed under: uncultured bacterium
Lineage: Bacteria
Description: partial 16S ribosomal RNA
Rfam family: Bacterial small subunit ribosomal RNA
Source: RNAcentral
GACGAACGCUGGCGGCGUGCUUAACACAUGCAAGUCGAACGGAAAGGCCCUGCUUUUGUGGGGUGCUCGAGUGGCGAACGGGUGAGUAACACGUGAGUAACCUGCCCUUGACUGUGGGAUAACUUCAGGAAACUGGGGCUAAUACCGGAUAGGAGCUCCUGCUGCAUGGUGGGGGUUGGAAAGUUUCGGCGGUUGGGGAUGGACUCGCGGCUUAUCAGCUUGUUGGGGGGGUAGUGGCUUACCAAGGCUUUGACGGGUAGCCGGCCUGGGAGGGUGACCGGCCACCUUGGGCCUGCGAUACGGCCCAGUCUCCUACGGGAGGCAGCAGUGGGGAAUAUUGCACAAUGGGCGGACGCCUGAUGCAGCAACGCCGCGUGCGGGAUGACGGCCUUCGGGUUGUAAACCGCUUUCGCCUGUGACGAAGCGUGAGUGACGGUAAUGGGUAAAGAAGCACCGGCUAACUACGUG